GUGAACGCUGGCGGUAGGCCUAACACCUGCCAGUCGAACGGCAGCACAGUAAGAGCUUGCUCUUACGGGUGGCGAGUGGCGGACGGGUGAGGAAUACAUCGGAAUCUACUUUUUCGUGGGGGAUAACGUAGGGAAACUUACGCUAAUACCGCAUACGACCUACGGGUGAAAGCAGGGGAUCUUCGGACCUUGCGCGAUUGAAUGAGCCGAUGUCGGAUUAGCUAGUUGGCGGGGUAAAGGCCCACCAAGGCGACGAUCCGUAGCUGGUCUGAGAGGAUGAUCAGCCACACUGGAACUGAGACACGGUCCAGACUCCUACGGGAGGCAGCAGUGGGGAAUAUUGGACAAUGGGCGCAAGCCUGAUCCAGCCAUACCGCGUGGGUGAAGAAGGCCUUCGGGUUGUAAAGCCCUUUUGUUGGGAAAGAAAAGCAGCAGGUUAAUACCCCGCUGUUCCGACGGUACCCAAAGAAUAAGCACCGGCUAACUUCGUG
This 491-nucleotide ribosomal RNA is filed under the name uncultured bacterium. RNAcentral's name for it is "partial 16S ribosomal RNA". It matches the Rfam family "Bacterial small subunit ribosomal RNA", at positions 29 to 507 of the family's 1533-position model. The record is from RNAcentral.